This 623-nucleotide ribosomal RNA is filed under the name Colletes roborovskyi. RNAcentral's name for it is "eukaryotic LSU rRNA". It matches the Rfam family "Eukaryotic large subunit ribosomal RNA", at positions 400 to 790 of the family's 3401-position model. The record is from RNAcentral. Lineage: Eukaryota; Metazoa; Arthropoda; Insecta; Hymenoptera; Colletidae.
UGAAACCGUUCAGGGGUAAACCUGAGAAACCCAAAAGAUCGAAUGGGGAGAUUCAUCGACGACGAAGCUGGCUCCCGUUGGCGUGCGAUUCCCCCGUUGGGACCUCGGUUCCAGAACGCGGGGUACACCCCUUCGGCGAAUAACCGGCGACGUAGUCGUGCACUUCUCCCUUAGUAGAACGUCGCGACCCGUUGUGUGUCGGUCUACGGCCUGGGCUAUUUGCCUGUCGCGGUGGCAUUCGUUCGCUCGCGGCAGAGGCUCGGUCGCCCGGCCGGCUGCACGACGGUACUCCGACGGUAUCGGGCCGCAACCAAUCCAUUCUCGAAUGGUAUAUGCGUCCAGGCCCGUCGCGCGUGCGGGGGUUUCUCCGCAGGUAAGCGACGGUGUCCUCGGACCGGCCAAGCUUCGAAUUACCGGUCAGCGACGCUAUUGCUUUGGGUACUCUCAGGACCCGUCUUGAAACACGGACCAAGGAGUCUAACAUGUGCGCGAGUCAUUGGGACAUUGAAACCUAAAGGCGAAAUGAAAGUGAAAGUCGUCGUAAGCGUCGACCAAGGGAGGAUGGGCCGCGUCACGUCGCGGCCUCGCACUCCCGGGGCGUCUCGUUCUCGUUGAGAAGAGGC